This 392-nucleotide transfer-messenger RNA is filed under the name Candidatus Falkowbacteria bacterium CG_4_9_14_3_um_filter_38_19. It matches the Rfam family "transfer-messenger RNA". From Rfam's summary of the family: Bacterial tmRNA, also known as 10Sa RNA or SsrA, is named for its dual tRNA and mRNA-like properties. RNAcentral also lists the same sequence under 1 other name. The record is from RNAcentral. Lineage: Bacteria; Candidatus Falkowiibacteriota.
GGGGAUGCUAGGCAUCGAUAAUAAAAUUUUUUAAAAGCAUUCAGGACGUGCGUUUCAGCCGUCACGCUAAUCGCGCUGAAUAACAAUAAGUGUCAAAAACUUAUUCAGCAAAGUUGCAACUGCUUUCAGCAUGCCAACUUUUGCUACCGCUGUAGCUUAAUUACAAGCCGCAGCCAUCCGUCCGGCGACUCCUAAUAGCCGGUGAGCGGGUGUCAUUUAUUAGGAUAGGCUAAUCGGUUUGUUUUAGCUGGUUAGCUAAAACUUAAUAAAACUAGUUAUUGUUGGUUUUGUUCGGUUUUAACAGUAAUAGCGAAAUACCAAACCGGACUAUUUCUGUAAAAUUGCUUUUAAUUAUUUAUUAGACGUGGGUUCAAUUCCCACCAUCUCCACCG